RNAcentral lists this ribosomal RNA (245 nucleotides) under uncultured Chlorobium sp. RNAcentral describes it as "partial 16S ribosomal RNA". It matches the Rfam family "Bacterial small subunit ribosomal RNA", at positions 524 to 768 of the family's 1533-position model. Lineage: Bacteria; Pseudomonadati; Chlorobiota; Chlorobiia; Chlorobiales; Chlorobiaceae. The record is from RNAcentral.
UACGUAGGAUCCGAGCGUUGUCCGGAUUUACUGGGUGUAAAGGGUGCGCAGGCGGACUGGUAAGUCAGUGGUGAAAUCUCGUCGCUUAACGACGAAACUGCCUUUGAUACUAUCAGUCUUGAAUCCGGUAGAGAUCUGUGGAAUUCCGAGUGUAGCAGUGAAAUGUGUAGAUAUUCGGAAGAACACCAGUGGCGAAGGCAGCAGAUUGGGCCGGUAUUGACGCUCAGGCACGAAAGCAUGGGGAU